UCGAGAAUCAUUCGCAAUGGGCGAAUGCCUGACGAUGCGACGCCGUGUGAGCGAAGAAGGCCUUCGGGUUGUAAAGCUCUUUCGCCUGUGAACAAGAGAGACAGGAUAACACCCUGUGGAUUUGAGGGUAACAGGUAAAGAAGCACCGGCUAACUCCGUGCCAGCAGCUGCGGUAAUACGGAGGGUGCAAGCAUUAAUCGGAAUUAUUGGGCGUAAAGGGCGCGUAGGCGGAGGGGUAAGUCAGAUGUGAAAUCCCGGGGCUCAACCUCGGAACAGCAUUUGAAACUGCUCCCCUAGAGGGUAGGCGGAGAAAACGGAAUUCCACAAGUAGCGGUGAAAUGCGUAGAUAUGUGGAGGAAUACCGAUGGCGAAGGCAGCCCCCUGGGUUACUACUGACGCUCAUGCACGAAAGCGUGGGGAGCAAACA
This 427-nucleotide ribosomal RNA is filed under the name uncultured bacterium. Its description in RNAcentral is "bacterial SSU rRNA". It matches the Rfam family "Bacterial small subunit ribosomal RNA", at positions 355 to 774 of the family's 1533-position model. The record is from RNAcentral.